UUUUUAAAAUAUUUGUUUGGCGUUCGUUGCCUUGUAGAUUCUCUGAAAGUCGUGCUGGUAUUUUAAUAUAGUGUGUCCAGUUAAAGCGUGGUUAAAUCGUUGAAACAACUGAACCUGAAGAAAAGAAGAAUGCAAGUCAUCUUGCGUCUUUUAACAUAUUUGUAGAUCAAGAACUUGAAUUGAAUGAUAUUUUCUCCUGCUGUAUCAGUUGUAAAAAUAUUGAAAUAGCGAGUCAUGCCGGUGCUGCCAGCAUAUUUGAAGUUCACUCAGUUCAAGAGGAAACCUGAAAGUUGUGCAGCCUAUCGUCGACUAUUUUGUUCCAAAUCAUUGUAUUCAGACUACUGAUUGUGCCAUCAAAAUUAUACUGGUAUCAACCAACACUAGCUUUAUUACAGUAUUGCUGAAACAUAUCACCAACCCCAGCACGGACCAGUCUAUCAUUCCAUCUUCUAGAGAACCUUGGGUAACUGAUUGAUGGUUUCAUGUGUUUCUAAAUUGGCAUUACAGACUUUAUGUGAAGUCAUGUCCUUUCAAGAAAAUGGACAAGGGCUUAGUCAACAAGAUUCAUUGUUUUCUAACUCGUCUCGUUCCGUUGAAUCUCCCCUUUACUUCCUUACACAGGCCCUCUUGUUUGGAGGGUAAUUCCUUCGUGAACUUCAUCCAUUGCUGAAAACCAACGAGAUCAUGCUGUAAUUCAAGACCGAUAAUUUGUCUAGUUAGCUAAAUUACAAGUGCAUAUCUGGG
Molecule: long non-coding RNA, 744 nt
Organism: Daphnia pulex (common water flea)
Lineage: Eukaryota; Metazoa; Arthropoda; Branchiopoda; Diplostraca; Daphniidae
Exons: 5
Source: RefSeq, a predicted model, not a curated record